This 371-nucleotide ribosomal RNA is filed under the name uncultured bacterium. RNAcentral's name for it is "bacterial SSU rRNA". It matches the Rfam family "Bacterial small subunit ribosomal RNA", at positions 526 to 896 of the family's 1533-position model. The record is from RNAcentral.
GAACCGGGGCGAGCGUUGUUCGGAUUUACUGGGCGUAAAGGGCGCGCAGGCGGCGCAUUUUGUCAGGCGUGAAAGCCCCGGGCUUAACCUGGGAACUGCGUUUGAUACGGAUGGGCUAGAGUUCGGGAGAGGAGAGUGGAAUUCCCAGUGUAGAGGUGAAAUUCGUAGAUAUUGGGAAGAACACCGGUGGCGAAGGCGGCUCUCUGGACCGAGACUGACGCUGAGGCGCGAAAGCGUGGGGAGCAAACAGGAUUAGAUACCCUGGUAGUCCACGCUGUAAACGAUGUGUGCUAGACGUUGGGGAGCCUAGCUCUUCGGUGUCGCAGCUAACGCGGUAAGCACACCGCCUGGGGAGUACGGCCGCAAGGUUA